CCUGUGCCUAGAGGCUUUGCAUGUGUGGACACUGGGUCACAUGUGCUUUGGCAGGCAGAAGAGAUUAGAGUAGCUUUGUCUAUGCUCAGGGUUCUGACCUAUGAAAAUCUGAAUGAUGUGUAGCCUAAAAUU
Small nucleolar RNA from Rattus rattus (black rat), 132 nucleotides. RefSeq annotates it as small nucleolar RNA SNORA17. The transcript has a single exon. Lineage: Eukaryota; Metazoa; Chordata; Mammalia; Rodentia; Muridae. The record is from RefSeq and is a predicted model, not a curated record.